Molecule: long non-coding RNA, 1087 nt
Organism: Setaria italica (foxtail millet)
Lineage: Eukaryota; Viridiplantae; Streptophyta; Magnoliopsida; Poales; Poaceae
Exons: 3
Source: RefSeq, a predicted model, not a curated record
UCACUUGAAGAUGUGGCGCCGCCAGCUCCCUAGGUUGCCAUCGUUGAUCCGCCUCUUGAGGGCACGUCUACUGAAGCUCCCCCAACGGUGAGUACCGAAGGUACUGUAACUGCGAAUGUGGCGAGUACCCAGCCGUCUAUGGACGACAGCAAGAAAGCAUCUGGUCCAGACCACACGGCCAUCAAAGAGUUACCUGAUGCUGAGGCCUCAUAUAUUCAGCAGUUAGUGCUUACACAAGUCUCGAGGACAAGCUUGGCGUUUGAGGAUCAGGGGUCGAAGAAAAUUGAAAUCAUUGAGAGCCCCCCGGAAGAGCUACCGGCUAUCACCGACUUUAUGGAUUUGAGUCGCCGUUUAAUUGAUUAUACUUAGAAUUUGCAUGAGAAAUCCUGCAAGAACAUCCAGAUUAUUCAAGAGCGGAAUGAAGCUGCACAUCGCAUAGCAUUGCUAGAGAAGGAUAUAACCAAAGAGUGUUGUCGUAUGGCCGAGUACCUCAAAAAGUAUGAGCAUGUUGUUGAGUCGUUCCAAAUAGAAACAGCAGAAUUUUGAGGUUGAGAAGGACCGUGUCUUGGCAUGUAACAAGUCGUUGCAUCGCCAACUUGGGGAGAUGAAAGGUCAAGAAAUCAAGUUCCAGAGCCAAGUGAUCGACUGGAAGAAUGCACAUUGCCACCUUUUAGAAGAGCAUUAAGAACUCAAAGCUCGCCUGGAGAAGGUUGAAAAAGACCUCGAAAAGUAGACCAAGAUGCGGCGUGACUUUGCAGUCGGGCUAGCUGAAGCCAUGACAACUAUCAGAAGCCAGAAGGAGCAUGUGAAGGAGCAGUAGGAGCAUCUGAAAGAGCAGCGGCGUCUCCAGGAGUUGACGGAUGCAGCUCGAGUGUGGAGCCUCCCGAGGAGGGGGAUGACACCCGUCCCUUGGUUACCAGGAUGAAGGAUGCGGCUAGUAAUUUCAAUAAUCUGCUCCACAGCAUGGCGAAGACUGUGUCCAAGCAAUUACUGGCUACAGUUAAGUCAUUUUACCCUAAGGUGGACCUAUCCAUAGUCAUUGAGGGCAUGGCUGCAGAUUGCACUGACGAGGCAUACCAGCAGCAUU